RNAcentral lists this ribosomal RNA (478 nucleotides) under uncultured bacterium. RNAcentral describes it as "partial 16S ribosomal RNA". It matches the Rfam family "Bacterial small subunit ribosomal RNA", at positions 28 to 523 of the family's 1533-position model. The record is from RNAcentral.
GACGAACGCUGGCGGCGUGCUUAACACAUGCAAGUCGAACGGUAAGGCCCUUCGGGGUACACGAGUGGCGAACGGGUGAGUAACACGUGGGUAAUCUGCCCUGCACUUCGGGAUAAGCCUGGGAAACUGGGUCUAAUACCGGAUAGGACCACUGCCUGCAUGGGUGGUGGUGGAAAGCUUUUGCGGUGUGGGAUGGGCCCGCGGCCUAUCAGCUUGUUGGUGGGGUGAUGGCCUACCAAGGCGACGAAGGGUAGCCGGCCUGAGAGGGUGACCGGACACACUGGGACUGGGAUACGGCCCAGACUCCUACGGGAGGCAGCAGUGGGGAAUAUUGCACAAUGGGCGCAAGCCUGAUGCAGCGACGCCGCGUGAGGGAUGACGGCCUUCGGGUUGUAAACCUCUUUCAGCACCGACGAAGCGCAAGUGACGGUAGGUGCAGAAGAAGGACCGGCCAACUACGUGCCAGCCGCCGCCGUAA